This 232-nucleotide ribosomal RNA is filed under the name uncultured bacterium. RNAcentral describes it as "partial 16S ribosomal RNA". It matches the Rfam family "Bacterial small subunit ribosomal RNA", at positions 332 to 558 of the family's 1533-position model. The record is from RNAcentral.
AGGACCUACGGGGGGCAGCAGUAGGGAAUCUUCCACAAUGGACGAAAGUCUGAUGGAGCAACGCCGCGUGAGUGAAGAAGGGUUUCGGCUCGUAAAGCUCUGGUGGUAGUGAAGAAAGAUAGAGGUAGUAACUGGCCUUUAUUUGACGGGAAUUACUUAGAAAGUCACGGCUAACUACGUGCCAGCAGCCGCGGUAAUACGUAGGGGGCAAGCGUUGUCCGGAUUUAUUUGG